CCCAAAAGAAGAAGAAGCCGCAGAGUUCCCGCUUCAUUGCGUUUGUGUUUAAGUUUAUUUUUCUUCCUCAUCUAAAGUGAAGCACUAAGCUGAUCAGCAGGAGGAGAAGAGUCUGACGGAGCAGCAGAGGAACAUUUAAGCUACUUGGACUCAGCUCAGCCACUGCAGAGAAAUCAAUGAGUUCGACACAGAAGGACCAACAUGGACCGAGAAGUCAGCGCUCUCAGGAGGCCGACAAACCUCACAGAAGAAAGAGAGAGAAAAAAAACACCUGUGACGAGUGUGGGAAGGAUUUUACUAGGAAGUCUAAACUAAAACAACAUCAGCUCAUCCACACUGGAGAGAGACCGUUCAGCUGUGACUUGUGUGGAAAGUCGUUUUCCUGGAAGAAAACCCUAAAAAGACACCAAGUUGUCCACAGUGGAGUUAAAGCUUACAGCUGUGAUCAGUGUGGUAAAGCUUUUACUCAAAAGAUCAGCUUACAGAGACAUCUAGUUACCCACUCUGGAAUGAAGGCAUACAGCUGUGACAUCUGUGGAAAAACUUUCAGCCGGCUAUGGAGCCGAAAUAUACACCUACGCAUUCACUCCGGAGAAAAUGUGUACUGGUGUGAUCAGUGUGGCAAAUACUUUACAACAGACACACACUUACAACAGCACAUGUUUACCCACACUGAGGAG
This is a long non-coding RNA of Oreochromis niloticus (Nile tilapia), 680 nucleotides long. RefSeq lists it as uncharacterized. Lineage: Eukaryota; Metazoa; Chordata; Actinopteri; Cichliformes; Cichlidae. The record is from RefSeq and is a predicted model, not a curated record. The transcript is spliced from 3 exons.